AUUGAACGCUGGCGGCAUGCCUUACACAUGCAAGUCGAACGGCAGCACGGGUGCUUUCACCUGGUGGCGAUUGGCGAACGGGUGAGUAAUACAUCGGAACAUGUCCUGUAGUGGGGGAUAGCCCGGCGAAAGCCGGAUUAAUACCGCAUACGAUCUACGGAUGAAAGCGGGGGACCUUCGGGCCUCGCGCUUUAGGGUUGGCCGAUGGCGGAUUAGCUAGUUGGUGGGGUAAAGGCCUACCAAGGCGACGAUCAGUAGCUGGUCUGAGAGGACGACCAGCCACACUGGGACUGAGACACGGCCCAGACUCCUACGGGAGGCAGCAGUGGGGAAUUUUGGACAAUGGGCGAAAGCCUGAUCCAGCAAUGCCGCGUGUGUGAAGAAGGCCUUCGGGUUGUAAAGCACUUUUGUCCGGAAAGAAAUCCUUGGCCCUAAUACGGUCGGGGGAUGACGGUACCGGAAGAAUAAGCACCGGCUAACUAUGUG
RNAcentral lists this ribosomal RNA (486 nucleotides) under uncultured bacterium. RNAcentral describes it as "partial 16S ribosomal RNA". It matches the Rfam family "Bacterial small subunit ribosomal RNA", at positions 30 to 507 of the family's 1533-position model. The record is from RNAcentral.